Long non-coding RNA from Diceros bicornis minor, 769 nucleotides. RefSeq lists it as uncharacterized. The transcript has 3 exons. The record is from RefSeq and is a predicted model, not a curated record. Lineage: Eukaryota; Metazoa; Chordata; Mammalia; Perissodactyla; Rhinocerotidae.
AAUCAAACUCUUGGCUUAUUUUUUUACCUUAAUAGUUAUCUUUAUUUGCCUAAAAUUGUGUCUUGAAUGCGUUUUGAAAUUGUAAGUGAACAUAAGGGAAUAACCUAAUGAGAUUUGAAUAGCUUCUGUGUAUCAGAAAAGUGUAUUAUAUGUACUUUUAUAGCAGAGUUAUUAAAUAUUACAGACUAUUGUUUACAGGGUAAGUUACCAUCAAAUCAAACUGUAGACAACCCUGUAAUGUUAACGGAAAUCCAUUUCAUCUUUAAAGAGCUUACAGCAGGGACUCUUUUCCAUUGCCUUCAUUUCUUCCUGUCAUCUAACUGUGUUGUGAUUUAAUUUUAAUUUCUACAUUCAUUUCCAUUUAUGUUAGAGAGAUCAACCAGCUUUCACUCCUGGUGGAGUAUUAACCCCUCAUGCCUUGGGUUCAAGAAAUUCACCAGGUUCUCAAGUAGCCAGUAAUCCGAGACAAGCAGCCUAUGAAAUGAGGAUGCAGAAUAAUUCUAGUCCUUCAGUAUCUCCUAAUACGAGUUUCACUUCUGAUGGCUCCCCGACUCCGAUAGGAGGAAUUAAGCAAAAAGCAGAAGACAGUGACAGUGAACCUGAACCAGAGGAUAACGUCAGGCUUUGGGAAGCUGGUUGGAAGCAGCGGUACUACAAGAACAAAUUUGACGUUGAUGCAGCUGAUGACAAAUUCCGUUGUAAAAUUGUACAGUCUUACGUUGAAGGGCUCUGCUGGGUUCUUCGAUAUUAUUACCUGGUACAAAAUGAA